Non-coding RNA from Dipodomys ordii (Ord's kangaroo rat), 70 nucleotides. The record is from Rfam. Lineage: Eukaryota; Metazoa; Chordata; Mammalia; Rodentia; Heteromyidae.
GGGAAGAUGGCUCAGUAGUAGAGCACUUGCCUUGCAUGCAUGAGGCCGCGGGUUCGAUUCCUUAGCACCA